Molecule: long non-coding RNA, 503 nt
Organism: Ornithodoros turicata
Lineage: Eukaryota; Metazoa; Arthropoda; Arachnida; Ixodida; Argasidae
Exons: 3
Source: RefSeq, a predicted model, not a curated record
UCGUUUACAUCUAUGCAAGGAAAGGUAUUUCUCUUCGCUUUUGUCAGCGCCGUCGUCGCACAGCAGUAUAGGCACGGGCGUUGCAACCAAACGGUUCUGGAACCUUAUCGUGGAGACGCCUCGUGACACAAGUGGACUUUUGAGAGAGGAAACUGCAAAGAAGUAUAGCCGUGGGUGGCUUUCCAUUUGACACCAUCAACGUAUUUGACACUAGGGGAGACUGCAGGAGGCUAUGCCUGCUGGUCUAAUGCCACAUUGGCACGUGUGAUGUCCAAAUCCAUGAACUACUCUACAUUGGAAACCAUACAGCAGUUUCACGCCUUUAUUCCUACAUAUCUAGCUGGAGAUAUGCGACUGAUGUGAUACCAGUUUUCUUCAGGUGUGAGACCUAAUCCGUAUCCUGCGACAACGGCAAAGCCCUAGGAAGAUCGAUGGCACAAUAAACAAAAUCGCCCAAAACUAUAUCUGACAGUACAGCGCAAUAAAAAUUUUCUCAGGCCGGC